UAUCUAAAGUGUAGGUCAUCAUGUUGAUGGUCCAAGUUGAGAGUUGCUUUGUAUUUUGUGAGAGAAGCAUUUUGUAUAGGUUAUCGUGUGAUAAUCUGUAGGGUUGACUUGUGAGAGUUUCUUUUUAAGUUGUAUUUGAGUAUCGUUUCUAGUUUCUACAAGUUUAAAGUUGGUUAUUGUUGUUCGAUACUCAUGUUUACAAGUCUUGUAUUAGUUCCUAAAAGUCAUGUGAUUUUUAUGUGACAUCGGAUAGUUCUGUUAUGCAAUCGUAUGAUUUAUUAUUUGAUUAGAAAUUUGCAUUUUCUUGAUUCGUUGGUGUCUAAUCAGCUGUGUGUUUGAUAUGCUUACCGAACUGUGUGGUUCGUUGUUUAAUCAGGAUGUGGUUUCUGAUUUGGUUUCUUUAUGUGUUGUAGAAAGUUGUUAAACUUCUUUCUAAUGUGGAAAUUUGUAAUUCAAUUAUGUUCUUCGUUUUGAGUGAACAAAUGCUUUUUUAUUUGCUUUCAAAGUUUUUUAACAAAAGGAAAUCUGAUACCGAGUUUUGUGUAUUUCUCGGUAACUCGUUAAGUUCGUGGAAAAGAAAGAGGUAGGCCACAGUAUCUCGAUUUACAGCCAAGUCUGAAUAUCGAGUCGUGUGCUGCCACAAGUUAGGUUUUGUGGCUUAUUAGUCUUUUAUCCGAAUUAAAAGUUGAGGUAAGUUUACCAGUUUUUCUUUGCUGUGAUAACACAUCAUAUAAGCGUUUUGAGCUUGAUUUAUUUUUCUUUAGGGAAAAAUAACUGAUGGUUGUUUUAAAACUGUGGGUAUUGAGUCGAAAACUUAGACUGCAACCACUUUGACAAAAGAACAAAAAAGUUAAAUUUGUUUGCUUUGUUUAGGUAUAAAAAUGAGAG
This 888-nucleotide long non-coding RNA is filed under the name Helianthus annuus (common sunflower). Lineage: Eukaryota; Viridiplantae; Streptophyta; Magnoliopsida; Asterales; Asteraceae. The record is from RNAcentral.